GGAGCAAUCUGAUGAUGACGAGUGGCGCACGGGUGCGUAACGCGUAUGCAACCUACCCAUAACCGGAACAUAACGUUGAGAAAUCGGCGCUAAUAUUCCAUGUGUAUAUUUUGUGGCAUCAUAGGAUAUAUAAAGAUUAAUUGGUUAUGGAUGGGCAUGCGUAUCAUUAGCUAGUUGGUAGGGUAACGGCCUACCAAGGCUGCGAUGAUUAGGGGUUCUGAGAGGAUAACCCCCCACACUGGAACUGAGACACGGUCCAAACUCCUACGGGAGGCAGCAGUAGGGAAUAUUGGGCAAUGGAGGCAACUCUGACCCAGCCAUGCCGCGUGAAGGAAGACGGACCUAUGGAUUGUAAACUUCUUUUAUCAUAGAGUAACCGCAGGGACGUGUCCCUGCCUGCAAGUAUAUGAUGAAUAAGCAUCGGCUAACUCCGUGCCAGCAGCCGCGGUAAUACGGAGGAUGCAAGCGUUAUCCGGAUUUAUUGGGUUUAAAGGGUGCGCAGGCUGACCGGUAAGUCAGGCGUGAAACUUUACAGCUUAACUGUAAACGUGCCUUUGGUACUGCCGGACUAGAGUUUAAGAGACGUAAUUGGAAUGUGAUGUGUAGCGGUGAAAUGCUUAGAUAUAUCACAGAACGCCGAUCGUGAAGACAGAUUACGAACUUAAUACUGACGCUCAUGCACGAUAGCGUGAGGAUCAAACAGGAUUAGAUACCCUGGUACUCCACGCUGUAAACGAUGAUCACUCGUUGUUGGAUGGUAACAUUCAGUGGCCAAGGGAAAACGAUAAGUGAUCCACCUGGGGAGUACGAUCG
This 813-nucleotide ribosomal RNA is filed under the name uncultured bacterium. RNAcentral describes it as "bacterial SSU rRNA". It matches the Rfam family "Bacterial small subunit ribosomal RNA", at positions 76 to 888 of the family's 1533-position model. The record is from RNAcentral.